UACUUUUUAAGACUCCUAUAACUCAACAGCAAAACAAACACAAAGUGUCUACUUUUAAAAUAAGCCAAAGAGCUGAAUAGACGUCCGUCGAAGGAAGGUAUAUGAAUGGCCAACGUGUGCUUGAAAAGAUGCUCAACAUCACCCACGUUAGAGAAAUGCAGAUCAGAAGCACAGUGAGCUAUCGCAUGCCCGCUACAAUGGCCAUCGUCGCAAAGUCAAGAGAUAACCGAUGCUGGUGAGGAUGUGGAGAAGAGGCAACACCGUGCACCACGGGUGGGAAUGGAAGCUGGUCCAGCCAUGACGGGAAACAGGAUGGAGGGUCCUCCGAAGGUUACAAAUGCACCUACCACGUGAACCAGCAAUGCCACUUUUGGGUCUAUAGCCAAAGGAGUUGAAAACGGGAUCUCGAAGAGAUAUUUGCACCCCGUGUUCAUUGCAGCGUGACUUUCAGUAGCCGAGACAGGGUAGCAACGUGAGUGCCCAUCGACAGAGGAAUGAAUGAAGAAGAUGUGCUCUCUCCUCUUGGAUCAUUUGCUUUGGGAAAAGACAGCUGCCACGUCGUGUAAGCAGCCCUAUAGAGAGGCCCAUCUGGCAAGAAACCGAAGCCUCCUGCCAACAGCCAUGUGAGUGAUCUUGGAAGCAGACCCUCCAUCCCCAUCAGACGACUGCAGCCCCUGCUGACAACCCGCCUGCAGCCAGGGUUUGGCCAUGACUAUAACCGUGUAACGCACAGACGUGGAUCGAUUACUGAUACAGCCAACACACUUCCAAGGCUCAGAACUACAAUGAGCUUCUGAAGAUGAGGCAAUAACUUCCGGAGCAUGGAAGACAGAAAAGAUCCAGCGUUCGAUGGUGGCGAGGUGUAGAAGCAAUCUGUUUUGAAAGCUUAUUCUGCCAAUUACUGGUCAGUGCGUGUCGCAUCCAUCCAUUCGUUCAAUCUGUCUGCCGUUCAGUGCCUUUACCUGGGAAAUGGAGGUGAUUUUCUAUGCUCCAUAGGGCUCUCGUGGAGAUUGUGUGACAUCACUGAUUAUUAUUGUGACUUUGCCAAGUGGCUUGCUGUGGCCUGAGGAAUGUAGUUGGGAAUGACACCCCAUGAAUUCUGAGCCCAGGCUUUAAAGGCAUUGUGUGUUUUUGCUGGCUCCUCAGGGAGCCACUCUUCUGCCUCCCAGGUGCCCUGGGCCCCAGAACGGGAGCAGAGUGACCCCAGGUGACAUGAGCCAGACCUGAAGCCUGAAGCCAAGCCCAGGAGCAUGCCGCUGAACCCUAGCUGAGCUGCAGGCGCGGGAAUGAGAAGUAAUUGCCUACUGCUUUCGGCCACUGAUGCUUUGUAAUUGUUUGUUAUGUGACAACAGCUAACUGAUACAGCCACAGAGAGAUGAAUCAAAGACACAAUGAGCUUUCAGCCCAGGCAUGUGGGAGACAGAGGAGGGAGGGUCACGCUCUGGGAGAAACUCAUCGUGUGAUCGUUGAGCAGUGCACGUUGUCUAUCUGGUUCUUGUUUCUUCUAAUGUGAGGAGAUUAUAUACUCAUUGUAGAUGGCCCCAUAUAAUCGCAGUUCGAGGUAAAAACUUUCUGUAUCUAUA
This is a long non-coding RNA of Neofelis nebulosa (Clouded leopard), 1583 nucleotides long. RefSeq lists it as uncharacterized. The record is from RefSeq and is a predicted model, not a curated record. The transcript is spliced from 3 exons. Lineage: Eukaryota; Metazoa; Chordata; Mammalia; Carnivora; Felidae.